AAGUCGUAACAAGGUUUCCGUAGGUGAACCUGCGGAAGGAUCAUUAAAUUCAGUAGCUUGCUACUGUUAGGAGGGUCUAUUAGUCUGUAUAGUAUCACUACUGAUGAGCAGCACGACCCUCUGUCUAUACCCUUGUCUUUUGCGCACUCAUGUUUCCUCGGCGGCUUAAUAUCCGCCGGCUGGAUCAAUCUAUAACCUUUUUAAUUUUCAAUCAGCGUCUGAAAAACCUAAUAAAUUACAACUUUCAACAACGGAUCUCUUGGUUCUG
RNAcentral lists this unclassified non-coding RNA (268 nucleotides) under fungal sp. RNAcentral's name for it is "partial internal transcribed spacer region". The stretch from base 1 to 46 matches the Rfam family "Eukaryotic small subunit ribosomal RNA", at positions 1786 to 1831 of the family's 1831-position model. Lineage: Eukaryota; Fungi. The record is from RNAcentral.